Molecule: long non-coding RNA, 250 nt
Filed under: Ananas comosus (pineapple)
Lineage: Eukaryota; Viridiplantae; Streptophyta; Magnoliopsida; Poales; Bromeliaceae
Description: long non-coding RNA (ACOM_LNC013244)
Source: RNAcentral
CGGAAAAUCACCCUAUGCCACGGCACGGGACAUCAUUUUAAACCUUGCUAGCCACUCAACCCUAGAUAACCACUAUCAUCAUUCUAGAAACCACUGUCACUCUAACCACACAUCUCUUUAUUCAACGACCGAAAGCUUAUGAGUACAAAGAGAUUUAUACGCAUAAAAGUAUAGUAGCCCUACUCUGUAUAAAUAUGUACUUAAGUUUAAUUCAUCUGCUUUGAUUCAACUCUUUAAUAUCUUGAAAUUU